UGCAGUCGACGGCAGCGCGGGGCAACCUGGCGGCGAGUGGCGAACGGGUGAGUAAUAUAUCGGAACGUACCCUGGAGUGGGGGAUAACGUAGCGAAAGUUACGCUAAUACCGCAUACGAUCUAAGGAUGAAAGCAGGGGACCGCAAGGCCUUGUGCUCCUGGAGCGGCCGAUAUCUGAUUAGCUAGUUGGUGGGGUAAAGGCCUACCAAGGCAUCGAUCAGUAGCUGGUCUGAGAGGACGACCAGCCACACUGGAACUGAGACACGGUCCAGACUCCUACGGGAGGCAGCAGUGGGGAAUUUUGGACAAUGGGCGAAAGCCUGAUCCAGCAAUGCCGCGUGAGUGAAGAAGGCCUUCGGGUUGUAAAGCUCUUUUGUCAGGGAAGAAACGGUGGAGGCUAAUAUCCUUUGCUAAUGACGGUACCUGAAGAAUAAGCACCGGCUAACUACGUGCCAGCAGCCGCGGUAAUACGUAGGGUGCAAGCGUUAAUCGGAAUUACUGGGCGUAAAGCGUGCGCAGGCGGUUUUGUAAGUCUGUCGUGAAAUCCCCGGGCUCAACCUGGGAAUUGCGAUGGAGACUGCAAGGCUAGAAUCUGGCAGAGGGGGGUAGAAUUCCACGUGUAGCAGUGAAAUGCGUAGAGAUGUGGAGGAACACCGAUGGCGAANGCAGCCCCCUGGGUCAAGAUUGACGCUCAUGCACGAAAGCGUGGGGAGCAAACAGGAUUAGAUACCCUGGUAGUCCACGCCCUAAACGAUGUCUACUAGUUGUCGGGUUUUAAUUAACUUGGUAACGCAGCCCAACGCGUGAAGUAGACCGCCUGGGGAGUACGGUCGCAAGAUUAAAACUCAAAGGAAUUGACGGGGACCNGCACAAGCGGNGGAUGAUGUGGAUUNAUUCGAUGCAACGCGAAAAACCUUACCUACCCNUGA
Molecule: ribosomal RNA, 929 nt
Filed under: uncultured bacterium
Lineage: Bacteria
Description: bacterial SSU rRNA
Rfam family: Bacterial small subunit ribosomal RNA
Source: RNAcentral